UACGGAGGGUGCGAGCGUUGUCCGGAAUCACUGGGCGUAAAGGGCGCGUAGGCGGCGCGGGUAGUCGUCGGUGAAAGCUCAGGGCUCAACUCUGAGUCGGCCGGUGAUACUCCCGUGCUUGAGCACUGUAGAGGCAGGUGGAAUUCCGGGUGUAGCGGUGAUAUGCGUAGAUAUCGGGAGGAACACCAGUGGCGAAGGCGGCUCUCUGGGCCUUACCUGACGCUGAGACGCGAAAGCGUGGGGAGCGAACAGG
This 253-nucleotide ribosomal RNA is filed under the name uncultured bacterium. RNAcentral describes it as "partial 16S ribosomal RNA". It matches the Rfam family "Bacterial small subunit ribosomal RNA", at positions 524 to 776 of the family's 1533-position model. The record is from RNAcentral.